Long non-coding RNA from Arachis ipaensis, 1514 nucleotides. RefSeq lists it as uncharacterized. NCBI's taxonomy places the organism in Eukaryota, Viridiplantae, Streptophyta, Magnoliopsida, Fabales, Fabaceae. The record is from RefSeq and is a predicted model, not a curated record.
UAUCCAGCCUACACCCAAGCAGGACUCGAAACCAGAGACCCACCCAGACCUACACCUUCUAAUUCAAACUACCUUUCCCUCUCACCUUCGGUCAACUUCCUCAAUGCUAAACUCCGACAACAACUAUUCUCACUCCCUAAAUUAGCACUGUGUACAAGACCGGAAGAUUACAAACUGCUACUGCUCUGGUAAGGACGAUUCCCACACUCUCUAUUGUUGGUUCUGCGUUGAUGGAAGUACGGUUGUUCCAAUGAUGGUGAAGGGAGAUGGGUAUUGCUGCUCCGUCGAUCGAUGUGCAUGAUGGAGAAGAUGGCGCGACUGUCAGAGAGGAGGACGCUUGGACGCAGGAGGUGUGACGCUCUGGGUAGGCACUAGGGGCAUGCUUCCAUUGGUAGCCUAGAACCACGACUGAGAUUUACUGGCUCUUGGCUGCAAGUUCCUCCCAUGGUUGUGGAAUGUUGGAACUGGAGACAAAACUUUAUUUCUGACGCUGGUUGUGAUCUCUGAAUCCGUUGCUGGGUUGUACUAAAAAAGAUUGGACAGGGAUAAAAUGGGGGAUCUCCGGUCUCUUUUUUUUAUGAUGUCUGCUACCUGAGUUUGGGGAUUAAGAAUCCAUGAAUUGAGUAGCUAGUUCUAGUGUUUUAAUUGUGCUAAGGAUGUAUGCCAGUUUGUUUUCCCCGCGAGGCGUCCAGAAUUGAUUGUGCUGUGAUUUUGGUAACUGUUCCUCCCAAGACGUUUCCGUUGUGGUCUCUGAUCACUGCAGCUACUGUGCCUAUUUUAGUUCCGUCUGAUAAGGCUGCAUCGAUAUUUAGCUUGAGCCAGCCCUGUGGUAGAGGUUUCCAUUUAACAGGUACUUUGCUUGUUAUGUUUGUCUCCAUUACUUUGAUGUUGAUUUCCUUUGUAUGGCUGAUAUACUCUUGUUCUAAUUUUCUUGCUUUGUUAAUGAUUAGUUCGGGGUUAGGUUCUAUAUAGUUGUACACAUGCAUAUUCCUUUCCUUUUAUAUAGACCACGUAAUGAUGCCAAUUCUGCUCCAAUUCUGAGUUGCUUCUAUCUUGCACACCCUCUUACCACUCCUAUACAUCACCUAGAGCCAGUCUCCUAUUGAUUUUACAUUCUCCUUCGAGAAGAUGCAUUGUGACUGAGAGCCAAACCACACUACUGCUCUUGUCCAAUCACAUAAAAGUAGAGCAUGUUCACUGGUCUCUUCUUCCGAAAAGCAAAUCUUGCAAAUCUUGGAAUUAGUAAGCCUUUUUUUUUUUCAAUAAAUUCGCUCUUACCGGUAUUAUAUUUUGUGUAGCCUUCUAGAUAAACAUUUUAAUUUUCUGUGGAAACUUCAUAUUCCAUAUCCCUUACCAUAGUUCCUCUAUUGAGUUGCUUGUCGAGGGGUUGUCCUUGGGUUUUUUACUUCUUCCUCUUUUUUUUGGCCGCAUAGUAUCCUAUUUUUGUUGAAUAUUCUUCAUCUUUCCUGUACGGCCAAAUAAGCUUAUUUGAAUCUGAGGUUUUGCUGAUUGGA